CAGAGCUGAAUCGAUGUCAUCCUGAAAGCAACAGUACAGUUAAGGCAGAAGCCCAUGUUUAACUGUAUCUCCACAAAGCUGGGCCAGUUCUGCAGAUGAUCAGAGGGACUUCGCCAUCAUCACAUGCCUCAUUGCUGCAGUCAGACUGAAACAGGACGGUGAUGCAUGGCAGUCCAUGCCCGAGAUACGGAUGAUGAAGAGACCACAGCAACAUCUGGUCCAGAUGAGGACACAAGGGCAGGUGGACUGAUGCAGGGUCUUGUUCAAUUCACUACAGGAGAACAGGAGUGGCCAAACUCAGUCCAGAACUGCUGCUGUCUUGCAGAGUUUACUUGAAGUUGACUCUAAACUCUGCAGGACACCAGCCGUCCAGAACUAAGUUUGGGCACCCCUGCAUUACAGCAUUUCCAGGAUGCUGCUGUGGACUUUUUUGCCCUCACCACACACACCAAUCUGCAGCUAUUUCAGAUCAUACAAAACAUUAAAAAAAAAAAUAAAAUAAAAAACAGUCAUUUUACUGCACAAUGUGUCAUUUGAUUUCUGUAGUGCUAGUAAUAAAAUUAUCCUACCUCUUAUUUUGAAUUCUUUUUUCCUCAAAUGUGUUAGUUCCCUUGUAUACAG
This 621-nucleotide long non-coding RNA is filed under the name Danio rerio (zebrafish). Its description in RNAcentral is "lncRNA si:dkeyp-98f5.1 (ENSDARG00000097312.3)". The record is from RNAcentral. Lineage: Eukaryota; Metazoa; Chordata; Actinopteri; Cypriniformes; Danionidae.